This is a ribosomal RNA of Mustela putorius furo (domestic ferret), 108 nucleotides long. The record is from Ensembl. NCBI's taxonomy places the organism in Eukaryota, Metazoa, Chordata, Mammalia, Carnivora, Mustelidae.
AUUUAAGGCCAUACCCCUCUAAAUAUGCUCAAUUUCAUCUGAUCUCAAACGGCUAAGAAGGGUCAAGCCUGGUUAGUACUUGAAUCGGAGAGAGAGGUGUUUUGAUUA